This 1524-nucleotide long non-coding RNA is filed under the name Mus musculus (house mouse). RNAcentral's name for it is "long non-coding RNA chr18:59418375-59419899". The record is from RNAcentral. Lineage: Eukaryota; Metazoa; Chordata; Mammalia; Rodentia; Muridae.
UCCAGCAAACACAACAGAAAGAACCAGUAGCAGCCACCACAGACCCUCUCAGGACUCUUUGCUUUAUUGUCUCUCCAGAACCCUCAGAAUUAAACUAUCUGCAGUUUGAAAAAAAAAUUAGAGUUCUGCUACUGCUCAAGGCAAAUCCUAAUCACCUGCUGUGAGGCAGCCUCUUAUCUCACCCCUUGAAUUAAAACAAAAACAUAUUCACAUACCGUUUUUAAAUUAAGAAACCAAAAUUCUCACUGCAAUACUGAAACUAACAGAGACUCAAAUGAAUGGGGAUCCAAUCUGUGUUUUGGAAUCAGAAGAUUUAAUAUUGUUAAGAUCAUUAUACUAAUGGAUAUUUCAUAAAUUUAUGUAAAUAAUUAACAAACUAUUAUUUGAAUUGUGUGGAAAAAUAUCAAACUGUAUUUGAAGCAACAAAUAUUCUUCUGAAACAAUUUGCAAUAUCACAUUUUAAGUAAAGGAAGGGUUUUUGUGGGUCAGUUUCUCUGAGUAUUCUUUACUCAGAAAAAGUAUUUUACCUUAAAUUCCAACACACAAACCAAUAAUAAUGGAAUGGAAUCUGGUAUCUUUCUUCCUUCUGUGUGCAUGUAUAUAAAUAGAUGAUUGAUUGACUGAUUGAUAGGUAGAUGAUAGAUCGAUUGAUUAAUAGAGAGAAAGCAAUAAUUGAUAGAUACCUAGAUGAUAGAUAGAUAGACACAGUAUUGGUAUUUUCUUUAUUUAUUGAUGGAGUUUGAUAUUACUAACAUUUUCAUUCGGAGGGAAAAUAUUUCAAAACCAGGAACCAUCACCUGUAGCUCAUUUCUUUCUCUUGUCUCAGAACCCAUGUCUUAAGAUAGAAUAGCUAAGUUAUUCCCUCUUUCAACUUGAUUUCUCCAGACUCUUCAGUGACUGAAGACAUUAGAAAAGUUUUAUAUUUUUACUUUACAUUUUGAAACUCUUCCCAUGGCUAUUUGGUGAAAUUGUUGUAAACAUUAGUUAUUUUUUUAUAAAAGCAAUUACCUCAAAAUAUGUAAAUGAUGUUCCAUUUUGUUAUGGAAUACCCUCCAGAGGUGACCACUCAGACACAGUUUAUAGCUAAUUGAAAGUUUUUAUUCCAGCCAAGUGUGACUAAACUCAGGUAUCUUUUCACUUAAGUGUAGACCUAAGCAUUUAGAGCAAGGAAAAAAAAAUCACAGCCUUGUAUUUUACACAGAAGCUACAUACAGGGGGAGCGUUUACACAUGCAAGCAGUUUAACAGAAGCUAAGAUAUGUGGUUAUAUGGAAGGAAGGCCUUGCAUAAGCAGGCACUUGAUAGGGGGUUUUCAGAAGGGAAAACAGGAAAGGGGAUAGCAUUUGAAAUGUAACUAAAUAAAAUAUAACAAACAAACAAGCAAAAAACAACAACCACCACUACCCCAGAAGGUAAGAUUAUUCAGCUGGGGCAUCUUGACCUUGAAUUCCUUGAAUAAAGUUGGGUAUUUUUCUAGGUGAUUCUCAAUCAAGGAGAUCAAAUUCUAGUUAAACCUGCAUUGGCC